Molecule: ribosomal RNA, 500 nt
Filed under: uncultured bacterium
Lineage: Bacteria
Description: partial 16S ribosomal RNA
Rfam family: Bacterial small subunit ribosomal RNA
Source: RNAcentral
AUUGAACGCUGGCGGCAUGCCUUACACAUGCAAGCCGAACGGCAGCACGGGAGCAAUCCUGGUGGCGAGUGGCGAACGGGUGAGUAAAGUAUCGGAACGUGCCCAGUCGUGGGGGAUAACGUAGCGAAAGUUACGCUAAUACCGCAUACGAUCUAUGGAUGAAAGCGGGGGAUCGCAAGACCUCGCGCGAUUGGAGCGGCCGAUAUCAGAUUAGGUAGUUGGUGGGGUAAAGGCUCACCAAGCCGACGAUCUGUAGCUGGUCUGAGAGGACGACCAGCCACACUAGGACUGAGACACGGCCCAGACUCCUACGGGAGGCAGCAGUGGGGAAUUUUGGACAAUGGGCGCAAGCCUGAUCCAGCCAUGCCGCGUGCAGGAUGAAGGCCUUCGGGUUGUAAACUGCUUUUGUACGGAACGAAAAGGUUUGACUUAAUACGUUGGACUCAUGACGGUACCGUAAGAAUAAGCACCGGCUAACUACGUGCCAGCCGCCGCGGUAA